GUCUACCGCCAUGGCACCCUGAACAAGACCGAUCUCAUCUGAUCUCAAACCCCUUAAGCAGGGUCGGGCCUGGUUAGUACUUGGAUUGGAGACCACCUAGGAAGACCAGGUGCUGUAGGUG
This 121-nucleotide ribosomal RNA is filed under the name Pteropus vampyrus (large flying fox). Lineage: Eukaryota; Metazoa; Chordata; Mammalia; Chiroptera; Pteropodidae. The record is from RNAcentral.